This is a long non-coding RNA of Paramacrobiotus metropolitanus, 296 nucleotides long. RefSeq lists it as uncharacterized. NCBI's taxonomy places the organism in Eukaryota, Metazoa, Tardigrada, Eutardigrada, Parachela, Macrobiotidae. The record is from RefSeq and is a predicted model, not a curated record. The transcript has 3 exons.
GGACGCUUUAUUUUCGUUUGCACUUUAUUGGACAACAAGGAUGUAUUGAAGUGGCUAGCAAUGCAACUGCGAUGUUAUCUGACUGGCAUUAUCGCAAAAGGAAUGAUCGCGAACUCACCAUUUAUAACAUACUAGCAUGUGCUGAAAAUACGGAGACUCCCUGUUUUCUGACUCAAUGGGAUACGUUAUGGAUAUCAACCGGCUCGCCUGGCUCUAACAUACUCAACCGCGAUUUUUAUAAAACCCGGAUAUCCACAAACGCUUUUUUGUUGUACGAAUUUGCCGAACUGUUCCUG